Hibiscus syriacus is the source of this 559-nucleotide long non-coding RNA. RefSeq lists it as uncharacterized. The record is from RefSeq and is a predicted model, not a curated record. Lineage: Eukaryota; Viridiplantae; Streptophyta; Magnoliopsida; Malvales; Malvaceae. The transcript is spliced from 3 exons.
CCAAAUGUUCUGAUUCUUUCUGCAAUGUAGUACUGGAGCAAUAGGGCAUGUGAGCAACAGGAAGACAAUAGACUUUCACUACCAGGGGCUCAGCAAAUCUCUGUCCCCAGAGAUUCUUAUGGCCUUUGAUUUUGUUUCCAUCAAUGGAAAUAUGCCCUUUUUUUCUCUCUCAUUUUCCAUAUAAACUCCCCUCCUUUGUCACAGUCUCGGCUUUACAUAUAAGUUCUUCCAUUGUUGCAUCAAGUGCAUUUCACUGUAAAGUGUGACCACCAACUGCAGAAAAAGGAAUCUGGAAAAACUCAUGGAAGGCAGCAGAGGCAGCUCUUGUGAACCUCCAGCAGGCAAGGCAGCAAUAUCAGAGUUGGAAACACUGCAGAAACAGUACGAGGAGAAACGAGUGAAGAUCCAAGACCUCCAUAAACAAAUCGAAAUCGCAAAGCUUCGAUUGGAGGAGAAGAAGAAGAAGAAGGAGGAAAUCCCAGAUGAGAAAAAAGAAGCUUUCAAUGAACUGUGCCAGAAAUACAACAGUCUGAGAGAGGAAUAUAUUGCACUGUCAAGG